This 72-nucleotide transfer RNA is filed under the name Branchiostoma floridae (Florida lancelet). It matches the Rfam family "tRNA". Rfam says of the family: Transfer RNA (tRNA) molecules are approximately 80 nucleotides in length. Their secondary structure includes four short double-helical elements and three loops (D, anti-codon, and T loops). The record is from Rfam by way of RNAcentral. Lineage: Eukaryota; Metazoa; Chordata; Leptocardii; Amphioxiformes; Branchiostomatidae.
GGCAGGGUAGCUCAGUUGGUAGAGCACUGGUUGCAUUUACCAGAGACCCGGGUUCGAGUCCUGGCCCUGCCA